CACGGGUGAGUAACACGUGGAUGAUCUACCCAUCAGUUCGGAAUAACAGUUGGAAACGACUGCUAAUACCGGAUACGAUCUUUUUCGCGAUUAGGUGAAAGGCGGCCUCUGCUUGCAAGCUGUCGCUGAUGGAUGAGUCCGCGUCUCAUUAGGUAGUUGGUAGGGUAACGGCCUACCAAGCCGAUGAUGAGUAGCCGGCCUGAGAGGGUAAUCGGCCACACUGGGACUGGAACACGGCCCAG
Molecule: ribosomal RNA, 242 nt
Filed under: uncultured bacterium
Lineage: Bacteria
Description: partial 16S ribosomal RNA
Rfam family: Bacterial small subunit ribosomal RNA
Source: RNAcentral